Molecule: ribosomal RNA, 197 nt
Filed under: uncultured Bacillus sp.
Lineage: Bacteria; Bacillati; Bacillota; Bacilli; Caryophanales; Bacillaceae
Description: partial 16S ribosomal RNA
Rfam family: Bacterial small subunit ribosomal RNA
Source: RNAcentral
ACUCCUACGGGAGGCAGCAGUAGGGAAUCUUCCGCAAUGGACGAAAGUCUGACGGAGCAACGCCGCGUGAGCGAUGAAGGCCUUCGGGUCGUAAAGCUCUGUUGUUAGGGAAGAACAAGUAUCGGAGUAACUGCCGGUACAUUGACGGUACCUAACCAGAAAGCCACGGCUAACUACGUGCCAGCAGCCGCGGUAAU